GGCUCUAGGCCUGCUGUGAUUUGAAUUUAUAUAUAAAGUUAUUACCUAAAGGAAGAACUGUUUAGUAGAUAAUAUUAAUAAUAUCAUAUAGAUUGAUUAGUUAAGAUCUUGAAAGUCGACUAAAAAUCGUGCCAGCCGUCGCGGUUAGACGAAAGACUUAAGUAGGUAGACUAGUUAAAAGUAGUUUACAAUUUUUUGGGCUACGGAGUACUAAGCUUAAGAUUCUAAGUAAAAUUUAAACUCUUUGAGUCAGAUUUCUCUGUAACCAGAUGUUGAAUCUACUAAACUCAUGAUCUAAACCAGGAUUAGAUACCCUGUUAUUAUGAGUUAUAAUCGAUCUAGGGUAGUAAAAGCUUAUUCUUCAAACCCAAAGGUUUUGGCGGCUUUUUAUCCUACCAGAGGAGUUUGUCCCGUAAUUGAUAAUCCCCACUUUACCUUACUCGCUCUUGUUUAGCUUGUAUACCUCCGUUGACAGGUUACUUCAUAAGAAAGUUUCCAAUAAAGACAACUCUAAUACUUCAGGUCAAGGUGCAGCCCAUGAGCGAGAGGAGAUGAACUACAAUUCUCUAGAAGAAAUACGGAUGGGGAGCUAAAAUAACCCUGAAGGUGGAUUUGUCAGUAAUAGUGCUUUAAGAAUAACACUAUGAACUAGGCAAUAAAACGUGUACAUAUCGCCCGUCACUCUCUUUUUAAAAA
Molecule: ribosomal RNA, 696 nt
Filed under: Scapholeberis mucronata
Lineage: Eukaryota; Metazoa; Arthropoda; Branchiopoda; Diplostraca; Daphniidae
Description: partial 12S ribosomal RNA
Rfam family: Microsporidia small subunit ribosomal RNA
Source: RNAcentral